This 471-nucleotide ribosomal RNA is filed under the name Escherichia coli. RNAcentral's name for it is "bacterial SSU rRNA". It matches the Rfam family "Bacterial small subunit ribosomal RNA", at positions 1 to 468 of the family's 1533-position model. Lineage: Bacteria; Pseudomonadati; Pseudomonadota; Gammaproteobacteria; Enterobacterales; Enterobacteriaceae. The record is from RNAcentral.
AAAUUGAAGAGUUUGAUCAUGGCUCAGAUUGAACGCUGGCGGCAGGCCUAACACAUGCAAGUCGAACGGUAACAGGAAGCAGCUUGCUGCUUCGCUGACGAGUGGCGGACGGGUGAGUAAUGUCUGGGAAACUGCCUGAUGGAGGGGGAUAACUACUGGAAACGGUAGCUAAUACCGCAUAACGUCGCAAGACCAAAGAGGGGGACCUUCGGGCCUCUUGCCAUCGGAUGUGCCCAGAUGGGAUUAGCUAGUAGGUGGGGUAACGGCUCACCUAGGCGACGAUCCCUAGCUGGUCUGAGAGGAUGACCAGCCACACUGGAACUGAGACACGGUCCAGACUCCUACGGGAGGCAGCAGUGGGGAAUAUUGCACAAUGGGCGCAAGCCUGAUGCAGCCAUGCCGCGUGUAUGAAGAAGGCCUUCGGGUUGUAAAGUACUUUCAGCGGGGAGGAAGGGAGUAAAGUUAAUACCU